RNAcentral lists this long non-coding RNA (325 nucleotides) under Phaseolus vulgaris (common bean). Its description in RNAcentral is "long non-coding RNA (PVUL_LNC002572)". The record is from RNAcentral. Lineage: Eukaryota; Viridiplantae; Streptophyta; Magnoliopsida; Fabales; Fabaceae.
AAAAACAGUUAAAGCUGUUAUAAAAUGAACAGAUUGAAAAUAAAAUAAACUGAUUUAUUUUCAAAAGCAGUUAGAGAUUCUGUUAAGUGAGGAGACUUAGUCAACCAUUCUGGUGCUGAGAUAAAACUGAAAAACGUUUAAGUGUGAUAUGGCACCAGAGGCAAAAAAGAAUCUAUUCAUUUACAGAUGAACAGAUUUAUUUUUCAAAACGAAAACAGAGAAAGUUUAACUAUUUGAAACUCAGUCGUUUUGAAAAGAAGAAAACUUAGUCAAAAUACCUGAUGCACAAAAUCCAAUUUUUACAAGACUUUAGCCAAGGCAUCAG